CAAAAAAUGCUUAACAUUUGC
Molecule: non-coding RNA, 21 nt
Filed under: Arabidopsis thaliana (thale cress)
Lineage: Eukaryota; Viridiplantae; Streptophyta; Magnoliopsida; Brassicales; Brassicaceae
Source: RNAcentral